Macaca mulatta (Rhesus monkey) is the source of this 1508-nucleotide non-coding RNA. Lineage: Eukaryota; Metazoa; Chordata; Mammalia; Primates; Cercopithecidae. The record is from RefSeq and is a predicted model, not a curated record.
GUUUGAGCAGCAUUUAUUGACAAUUUCAUUAGUGGGAAUGUUUCCAUUAGAAACACAGAGUUAGGAAGAUCAUAAAAUUGUUCUUGCAAUAUAAGGUAAUAAUACCACCGGCGUUUAUCUUACUGUUUUCAUGUUCUAAGUGUAUGCACCUGAGUAAAAGGAUCUGAGCGGCAGUCCAGUCUGAGAGACGCCAGCAAAGGCUGCCUAGGCCAGUUCAGUCCAGUAAAUCCCUCUUCGAUCUUCUCUUCCACACAGACAGCGGUGAUGAGCAUGCCCAUGAACCCACAUGAUUAUUUUGGGGGAAAUGAAAGGGUUGUAUUUUUGAGGUAGUAAUUCUACUUUCAGGGGCAAAUACAUUUUGAUUAUUGUAUCACCCUUCAGUGAGUUGUUUUUUUUCUUUAACCAAGGAUAUAUGUUUGAGGGAAGAAGUAAAGCAUAAAGUAUAUGAUUUUGUGUGUGUUUUUAUCUUGCUAUACCUGUAGGGAAUGUUUAAUUCUGCCUUGGAAGUAGCCAAAUUUGAAGGUGCUGUGAUUCGAACUGUCAGUGGGAUAAGGGGGCAGAUCAAGAAAGCGCUCUGAGCUCCAGAAGGAGCUUUCCGGGCCAGCUUUCAGGAUAAGCUGCUGAUGAGUGAUAUUGUCUUCAUGCAAACUUGGUAUCCUGUUUCCAUCCCAGCCUUCUAUAACCCAGUAGCAUCUUUGUUGAAACCCAGUGGGUGAGAAAGACACCUGGUCAGGAAUGUGGACCACCAGCCAACUCGGGCUUACCCAUGGCGUCAGACUAAAGGCGAACAAGGACUCUCUGUGUAAGCCAGUCCUAAGGCAAUCCUGAGGCAAAAAUUCACUGCAGAUUCCAAAAGCCUCGCAGAAGGCCCUGCCAUUUUAGAACAAGCCCAAGACCCAAGCAAAGGCAGGCAAGGUGCCGAAGAAUAGGUGGAGACCGGCCGUCAUACGCGAGCCUCAUGAAAGACAGAUCCUCGCACUGCUGGAUGCUCUGAGUACGGUGCACAGUCAGAAGAUGAAGAAGGCCAAGGAGCAGCAGCACCUGCACAAUAAGGAGCACUUCAGAGCCAAGCAGAAGGAGGAGGAGGAGAAGCUGAAGCGGCAGAAGGACCUCAGGAAGAAGCUCUUCCGAAUUCAGGGGGAGAAGGAAAGAAGCAACCAGAAGUCCAGUUUGAAGGGGGCUGAGGGCCAGUUGCAGUAAGCCUUUGGACUGGAGGGACUGUCCCUGGAUCUGCGGAGGUGGACAGUUUCAAACAUCACAGUUUGAAUGCCUGUGAAUGACAAGUCAGUGGGCAAGAGCCCAAGAGAUGUCUCUACCCAAACUGUGCCUGCAAGAGGAGGAACGGAGAAGCCUGGACUGCUGGGACUGGGUUCGUUCUCACCACCUGGGCUGUCGAGAUUUAAAGUGAUGUAAGCUGUGGUUAUGUGGAUUCUCUUACUUUCCUCUGCCUGCCUCAGUUUAAUUAUUUUGUGCUACAAAACUAUCAUUACAAUUUUUUUUUGUUAGUU